AACGCACCGCAAUCGUUGUCCGCUUUGGUACUAGACAUGGACUGGAUUCAGGUUUGGAGAAGUAUAAAGAGAACUAGCUUUGCUUGUACUGGAUAGCGCUAUCAACUUUUUUACUCGAUACCUCUAUGUAUCGCAUGACAAGACCCUUCGGGCAGUAGGGCGUCUGGCACCGAUUGCAAUACGUUCUCAAUGAAAACAUGAUGUCGUACAGUUUUGUCAAUGAUUGGAGGUUUUUAUACUGUAUAACUAUUUCAAUUCUAAAUAUGUUUUUGUUAGUUGUCGAGAAAGGACCAACGCUUAUUGAUAAACUGCUAGUGCAGUUCAAACCUCGACUAUAAUUAAACUAAAUAUAUUUAUACUGGAUGGCUGUAUAUGAGUUUUAAACUGUCCUCUCUAGGGAUAGACUAGCUAUAUGCGUUAAUCUCUUCUGCAAUUGCGUCCCCCCCUCGUGUUUUAAGAAUUGUUCGCCACAUCGUUUACAUGACUUUUCGUUAAGGGAAAACGUGCGUGAGCCGAGCGCUGAUUAUGCCAAUAUCGUGCGCACUUGCAGACAAGAUCUUUGUUUACUUUUUGAUAGUCGUUUAUUUAAUUUUCCUGCACAUAAGUGUAAUUACUUAAUUGCGCAAAUAGCGCGCAAGAAAAACAACCCAAUUCUCUCAUAAGUCCGUUCCGCCCAACGUUUAGGACAUAAAGUGUUAUAAUUGAAGCCAACUGAGUUGAAGUCUUGGCUAUUUCUUGCUUUCACUGAGCGUUACGAGGGAGCAGAUGUUACUCGACUUCUGAUCUGUUGACACUUUUGAGAGAAAGCAAAUUAAACCAUAUAUCUCUCAGUUCGAUUUAUGUGCGUCUAAAAAUAAGACUGCUAUACCUACUGUAGAAUGAGACGAAUUAACAUUAUAUUCUCCGACUCUGAGAACCGCAGGUUGACCAACAUCUGCUGCACGAUAGUGCUUAGUGAAACCAAGCUAUACUUCUCUUUUAUAAGUUUCAUUCUAGUACAUUAAUUAACAUUUAAUCAUUUCAUAUCACACAAUUAACCGAUGCCAUUGUACAUGUCCGACACGCACAUGUCCUCUCAUAAGGCACAUACUCGUGUCGACAGACAGAAGUAAAAUGUUCUUAGCAGCGCAUAAAUCUUUUUAGACAAGUACAAGCUAAUAGAGUGUUUAAGAUGAACUCUUUUUAAGAACCUAAUAUACAAGACUAGUAUAGGUGUUGACUCUGGUCUCUGCAUAGCAACGCGAAAUCGCAGCCACACGAGCUGUACACGGAAUUAGAAAUAUUGAUAGAUGCUUAUUAGACUGUUGGUUUUAUUAAUAAAAGU
This is a non-coding RNA of Paramuricea clavata, 1324 nucleotides long. Lineage: Eukaryota; Metazoa; Cnidaria; Anthozoa; Malacalcyonacea; Plexauridae. The record is from the annotation of a GenBank genome assembly.